RNAcentral lists this ribosomal RNA (870 nucleotides) under Cortinarius sp. FS-2012a. Its description in RNAcentral is "LSU rRNA". It matches the Rfam family "Eukaryotic large subunit ribosomal RNA", at positions 75 to 931 of the family's 3401-position model. The record is from RNAcentral. Lineage: Eukaryota; Fungi; Basidiomycota; Agaricomycetes; Agaricales; Cortinariaceae.
UUCCCCUAGUAACUGCGAGUGAAGCGGGAAAAGCUCAAAUUUAAAAUCUGGCAGUCUUUGGCUGUCCGAGUUGUAAUCUAGAGAAGUGUUAUCCGCGCUGGACCGUGUACAAGUCUCCUGGAAUGGAGCGUCAUAGAGGGUGAGAAUCCCGUCUUUGACACGGACUACCAGGGCUUUGUGAUGCGCUCUCAAAGAGUCGAGUUGUUUGGGAAUGCAGCUCAAAMUGGGUGGUAAAUUCCAUCUAAAGCUAAAUAUUGGCGAGAGACCGAUAGCGAACAAGUACCGUGAGGGAAAGAUGAAAAGAACUUUGGAAAGAGAGUUAAACAGUACGUGAAAUUGCUGAAAGGGAAACGCUUGAAGUCAGUCGCGUUGUCCAGGGAUCAACCUUGCUUUUGCUUGGUGCACUUUCUGGUUGACGGGUCAGCAUCAAUUUUGACUAUUGGAAAAAGGUCAAGGGAAUGUGGCAUCUUCGGAUGUGUUAUAGCCCUUGGUUGCAUACAAUGGUUGGGAUUGAGGAACUCAGCACGCCGCAAGGCCGGGUUUUUAACCACGUACGUGCUUAGGAUGCUGGCAUAAUGGCUUUAAUCGACCCGUCUUGAAACACGGACCAAGGAGUCUAACAUGCCUGCGAGUGUUUGGGUGGAAAACCCGAGCGCGCAAUGAAAGUGAAAGUUGAGAUCCCUGUCGUGGGGAGCAUCGACGCCCAGACCAGACCUUUUGUGACGGAUCUGCGGUAGAGCAUGUAUGUUGGGACCCGAAAGAUGGUGAACUAUGCCUGAAUAGGGUGAAGCCAGAGGAAACUCUGGUGGAGGCUCGUAGCGAUUCUGACGUGCAAAUCGAUCGUCAAAUUUGGGUAUAGGGGCGAAAGAC